AUGAAACAACCUCCUGGGUUUGUAAAUGCACAGGCACCACUUCAUGUGUGCAAACUUGACAAGGCGUUGUAUGGACUAAAACAGGCCCCAAGAGCAUGGUAUUCUCGCCUCAGUAAAAAGAUGCAAACACUUGGUUUUGUUCCUUCAAAGUCUGACACUUCGUUAUUUAUCUAUAACAAGUCAAGAGUAUCCAUAUUUGUCCUUAUUUAUGUUGAUGAUAUAAUUGUAACAAGUUCAUGUGAUGAAGCAAUAACAACACUGUUGAAGGAUUUAAGUGCAGAGUUUGCCUUAAAGGAUCUAGGAGAUCUACACUACUUUCUUGGUAUUGAGGUCAAGCAACACAAGGAUGGUCUACACCUCUCUCAAGAAAAGUAUGCAACAGACUUGGUAAAAAAGGCUGGUUUGCAAAAUUGUAAGUCUGCACCUACUCCUUUGUCUAGCACAGAAAAAUUGUCUCUUGUUGAAGGAGAGCCUCUGAAUUCAGAAAAUAGUACAAAAUACAGGAGUCUGGUAGGUGCACUUCAAUACUUAACAUUGACUAGACCAGAUAUUUCUUUUGCUGUCAAUAAAGUAUGUCAGUUUCUUCAUGCACCUACCACUGUUCACAUGACUGCUGCAAAAUGUGUAGUAAGAUAUGUGAAAAAUACGUUGAACAUUGGUCUAAACUUCAGCAAGUCAUCUUCUGCACUUGUCAGUGCCUUUUCUGACUCAGACUGGGCCGGGUGUCUAGAUGAUAGACGCUCGACUGGUGGUUUUGCGGUAUUCUUUGGACCAAAUUUGAUAUCUUGA
This 789-nucleotide ribosomal RNA is filed under the name Triticum aestivum (bread wheat). RNAcentral's name for it is "partial small subunit ribosomal RNA". Lineage: Eukaryota; Viridiplantae; Streptophyta; Magnoliopsida; Poales; Poaceae. The record is from RNAcentral.